Molecule: non-coding RNA, 3594 nt
Organism: Chlorocebus sabaeus (green monkey)
Lineage: Eukaryota; Metazoa; Chordata; Mammalia; Primates; Cercopithecidae
Source: RefSeq, a predicted model, not a curated record
UGGCUAGCCCGCUCGCCGCUCGCCUCUCCUCUGCGCGCGCCCGCCCCUCCCCCGCGCCUGGACGCGCGCGCUCCUCCUGCACCCCCCUCCUCGAGAAGGGACCCUGCUGAAUAAUGGAACGGGAUUGAGGCUAGCAAGAGAGGCCACUUUCUUCCUCCCCGCCCACCCCACCUGGAUGAACCCCAAUAAUGCUCUCUGGCACAGCCUGCUGAGAUGCCGCGGCGGCCACCUCUGCACGCACCCCUCAGAACGUACAUGCACACUGAGAUGUGUACCGGCUUGGGUAUGGAAACAUCCACGUGCCCAUACGGGCACAGUGUGCGGGCAGGCACACAGGCUCAGACAUAUACAUGCAUGCAUGUGCUCACAAACAUGGGCACACCAACUCACUCUCAGGGGAGCAUGUACACAUGCUCACCGGGCAUACACGCGUGCACACACACGUUUGAUCACAGGCCAUGAAUGGCCAGCAUACACACAGACACCCCUGCCCUCCAAGCUCACCCUCCAAAAUAGGGUCCACAGCAUACAGUGCACCCAGAGCCUUUGAGGUACUCAGGAGUAAGGCAUGCCACACACAUACAGCUCCCCACCACCUCCCCAAAAGGCUGCUCCCCCAGCCCCCUGCACAAGCCUCUCCUGGACUCCUCCAAUCCUUCCUCUCCAUUCCCACUGCCCCUCCCCUGGCUCCAACCUCUCUCUCCAUGGUGGGGUCUAGAGGACACCUGCCCACGGAGUGUCCCACUUAGGACAAAACCCUUCCUGGGCCACAUAUGUCAAGCUGAGGAAACCACUUCUCCUUCAGGAUGCCCUCCAAUUGGGAUCUGUCCCCCAAACUUUUGGACGCCUCUGGAAAGCACCUGUGGCCCCAGAGGUAAGCACAGAGACUCCUUUCCCAUCACCCGGUAUGCACCAACCUGCUUGGACAGCGGAGAGGCUGGGAAGGCAGAGGGUAGAGGAGAAGGGAAAGGAGAGAGGUGGAGAGGGCACCUGGGGGAGCUGAAGAAACAGUGCAGCAGAGUGAGGAGGAGGGCUGGAUAAGGAAAGGACAGGAGGCAGGGGUGGGUGAAGUGAGAAAGGGGAGGGGCUGGAGAGAGCUGGCUCCUGCUUAUUGAUUCUGAACUCCAUUUGGGAGCAAAAACUGUCACCAUGGGCCCCAUGUGCCACCCCCAGUUCCAGGAUGUAAUCAGGACCCAGGACAUCUCCCCAGUGCUGCUGCCAGUCCUCCACCCCUACUACAUGCCAGGGCUGGAUUUGGACCCCAGGCCUUUAGAAGUGAAGAAAGCGGUCCUCAGAGGCACCCAGAGGAGGCUUCCGGUGGUGCAGUGCUAGAGAAGAGACUGCAGGCCAGGAGCAGGGCUGGGGCCCCCAGAGGCCACGUCCCCCUGACCUCUCUAUCCCGUUCUUGGGCCCCUGGAUCUGGAAUAUAGACUGACACAGCUCUGAGCAGGCAAAAAAUUUAUGGUCCCACAGGGAGGGAGGGAAGAGCUGGUGGCGAGAGGAGAGGAAGGGAAACCGCCUAGAGGCCAAUCAAUACCAGUGAGUGGGAACUGGAGAAAGAUGGGGGUGGAGGGCAAGGUUGAGAAGGGAGGGGGAGACAUAGAGGGUAAAAAAGAAGGGAGAGACAGAGGUGUGCAAGAGAUCAAUAGAGGCUGCAGAGAUGAACAGAGACAGGGAGGCAGAGAUGGUAAGGAACUGACUGCCAGGAGAGGCAGGAGACAGGCUCUGAAAGACAGAGGAGCAAGCAAGCCUGAUGGGAACACCUCAGUCCCAAAUCUCAGGCCUGGGAAGUGUCUCCUUUUAGCCACCCUUUCUCAUUUCAUAUUCUCUUUUUCAUUCACUGUCCACUUUCCUCCAUCAUAUCUUUUCUCUCCUGUCUUCCCAAAGGAGAUACUCAUAAGCCUUAAAGGAACACAAAGUUCACUGCACCCCCAGGAGUAGCCCCCAUGUCACAAAUGGAGAAAUUGAGGUGAAGGCUCCACUGUGUGGGAGUGAAGCAGUGGCGACGGGCAGCAGCGCUUCGUGAUCCUGAUUUCUUCCACCCCAGGCAAGAAGUGCCCACCAUGGGUACCACCACCACUCCCCUGGGGACUAAAUGAGCAGCAGGAAGUGACAAACAGGCGCACCUAAGUUCCAGCCGAGCUCUACCAUCGACCCUCUAUGACUUGGGCAGGACCCCAGGGAAGAUGAUUUAAGCGAUGCUGAGGAGGCUGCACUCUGCCCACCCACUCCAGCCCAAUCAUCCAAGGGAAACGCCAAAGCUACCCCACAGAGUAGAAGGUUGCCUCUCCGCCAUUCUUGCCUCAGCUGCCCUCCCUCUGCAGGGCUCUAACCAGCUGCUGGCCACCAACCGCUAGGGACUGGGAGCUGCUACUGAACCUGCCCUCUCUGGGGAGGGGCCUCAAACAGAAUGCAAGUUGGCAAGCAAAUGUCCAGCCUGGGAGGAAAAGAACCAAGCAAAGACAGUAGGGAGUGACAUUGUAGCUCAAGGGGACAAACUGCAGCUGGGAUGCUUGGGGAAGAAAGAGGAGCCCAUUCCAGGCAAACCAGCUGUCCAGCAGCCUAGCCUCCUGGGAGCCUCCAAAGCCUGUCCUCUGGGAUGUGGUCCUGCUCUCAGCAGGAAAUAACAGAUUCCCACUUCAUGCCCUGAGGGCAUCUAAGGGAGUGCAGGUUGUUAACAGCCCCCCUCCCUGUGCAAUAGUGUGUCUGUGUGAGAUACAAAUACAUGUAAGGCCAUCACCAAAACCACACAGGACGGCAGCAAGUUCACCCCACUGAGGCCAACACCUUUGGUUCUGGGUGAAGGGAGCAGGGUCCCAUCAGCUGAGAACAAGGAGGAGAGGCUAUCUAUCAGUGGGCCCCUCCAGAGCUUCAGGCAGCAGCAAUCCUGCACAGUCCCAGGAGAAAGACCCUAUGAGGGGACAGCAGGCCGCAGCUCCCCUGGGACUCUGCAGACAAGGGAUGAGAAGGAAGCAAGCAACACAGCUCCUGAGUGCUCAGAGGCCCUCUUUCCUCCCUGGCAGCCCCUACAGCUGGGAAUGGACCCUGGUCUCCCCAAACCAUCCCCAGCCCUCCCAGGCACUCACGAUCAUUGCAGACAGGGCCUCCAUAGGAAGUCAUGGUGCAGUCGCAGGUGAAGCCAUCCCACUGCUGCAAGCAGACGCCCUGGUUGGCACAGGACUCUUCAGUGCAGGUGGUGCUGGGGCCUGGAAGGGGCAGGAGAAAGGAACACCCCUGGCUCAGCCAAGCCCCCUCUCUCCCCAGGAGGUGUGGAAGCUUCAGAGUCAGGAGGAGAGGUCCUACUCUGAGUUCUGCCUGGCUGAAAGGGCCAAGUACUGAUGAGAGGGAUUGGGGCGGGCGGGUCAGGUCUGUGACGCUUGGCCUUGGACUGUGACAAGGGGCCAGGGUGUGAGACAACAGGGAGGGCAAGUGACCCUUCACACACCUGUAUCCCUGCCCCAGAACUGUGGGGGCAAACUCCCAUAGGCCUGAGAAGGAAGGCCCCUUUGCAGAGCAGAGGCUACCUGCCCUGGUCUGCCUCUGCAGCUGGCGGUCCUGUAGCCAGUAGGGCCACGCCUCACUCCUCCACCCUCC